Molecule: transfer RNA, 66 nt
Filed under: Liatongus militaris
Lineage: Eukaryota; Metazoa; Arthropoda; Insecta; Coleoptera; Scarabaeidae
Description: tRNA-Asn
Source: RNAcentral
UUAAUUGAAACCAAAAAAGAGGUAAAUCACUGUUAAUGAUUCUAUUGGAUUAAAAUCCCAAUUAAA